Molecule: non-coding RNA, 247 nt
Filed under: Pannonibacter phragmitetus
Lineage: Bacteria; Pseudomonadati; Pseudomonadota; Alphaproteobacteria; Hyphomicrobiales; Stappiaceae
Source: RNAcentral
AAAUACUACUUCUGCGACGGUUUCUGGCAGUGAGAGCUGCCGGGAUUAAAAGGGAACACGGUACGGACGACCCAAUCAGGGGCCAAAUCCGUGGCUGCCCCCGCAACUGUAAGCAGAUGCCGGUCAUUCUUGCGGCGCUUCCUCGGAAGACGCCGGGUCACUGCGCCAGUCCUCAACUGGUGCGGGAAGGCAAAUGACCGGCCUGAGAUCUGUGAGCCAGGAGACCUGCCGUCAUGUGAAAUCCAGA